UCCAAGUGAUUCAUUCGGGCGAAUAAGUGCUGCUAAUAUCGAAUAAUGUCUCAGGAACAUCGAAUGAGAUCACGGGUGACCGUCAUUAUGCAUUAAUUAACGUACGCGAUGUAAAGUCGUUCGAUCGAAUCUGUCUUUUCAUUGAUAGUAUGAAGUUGCUCCGCGAUCGUUUGCGAUUUUUCCACCAUGUUCUGUGUUUUCCACCAUGGCCGAAACCCGAAACAUCGAAUAAAAUCUCGGAAAUGCCAAAUAAGUUCUCGGAAGUCGAAUAAUAUUUCGUAAAUGCUGGGUAAAGUUGGAUAAAUAAAUCGCACUAAUUCUGGUAUAAUCUGUCUUUCCCUUCGGUGAUGACAAACCAUCAUCGUCUGUACUAAAAUUUUUUUCGGGAUGCUGUUUUAUUCUAUGAGGUUUUAUUCUAUGAGGUAUUCUAUGGGGAGAAAAUUAUGCCACUUAAUAAACGACAAUAUUCUAGAAAACGGGAUCAUCUGAUAGCUUCCUAUGUAACUCGGAACGAUGAGGUCUCGUUCGUUAAUCGACUCCCGUGGCUUUCCGCCAAUAUCGAAUGUC
This is a long non-coding RNA of Trachymyrmex cornetzi, 567 nucleotides long. RefSeq lists it as uncharacterized. The transcript is spliced from 3 exons. NCBI's taxonomy places the organism in Eukaryota, Metazoa, Arthropoda, Insecta, Hymenoptera, Formicidae. The record is from RefSeq and is a predicted model, not a curated record.